GGAGGAAUACCCAAGCGGUUGAAGGGGUCGGUCUUGAAAACCGAUAGUGGGCUCAAUACCCAGCCAGGGUUCGAAUCCCUGUUCCUCCGCCA
RNAcentral lists this transfer RNA (92 nucleotides) under Bacillota bacterium. RNAcentral describes it as "tRNA-Ser". It matches the Rfam family "tRNA". From Rfam's summary of the family: Transfer RNA (tRNA) molecules are approximately 80 nucleotides in length. Their secondary structure includes four short double-helical elements and three loops (D, anti-codon, and T loops). Further hydrogen bonds mediate the characteristic L-shaped molecular structure. tRNAs have two regions of fundamental functional importance: the anti-codon, which is responsible for specific mRNA codon recognition, and the 3' end, to which the tRNAs corresponding amino acid is attached (by aminoacyl-tRNA synthetases). tRNAs cope with the degeneracy of the genetic code in two manners: having more than one tRNA (with a specific anti-codon) for a particular amino acid; and 'wobble' base-pairing, i.e. permitting non-standard base-pairing at the 3rd anti-codon position. Lineage: Bacteria; Bacillati; Bacillota. The record is from RNAcentral.